This 181-nucleotide non-coding RNA is filed under the name Sporomusa sphaeroides. RNAcentral also lists the same sequence under 1 other name. Lineage: Bacteria; Bacillati; Bacillota; Negativicutes; Selenomonadales; Sporomusaceae. The record is from RNAcentral.
UAAAUAUUUCCAGGUACAGGUGUCCGCAAGGACAUAAUAGAGAAACCGGUUAAAAGCCGGUGCGGUCCCGCCACUGUAAUGGGGAGCGAAUCCAUGAUAUGCCACUGAGACGAUGGUCUUGGGAAGGUUUGGAGGAGUGAUGAUCCUAAGCCAGGAGAACUGCCUGUACAACAAUCACCGU